RNAcentral lists this ribosomal RNA (253 nucleotides) under uncultured bacterium. RNAcentral's name for it is "partial 16S ribosomal RNA". It matches the Rfam family "Bacterial small subunit ribosomal RNA", at positions 524 to 776 of the family's 1533-position model. The record is from RNAcentral.
GACGAGCCACACAAACGUUAUUCGGAAUUACUGGGCUUAAAGGGUGCGUAGGCGGCCUGGCAAGUGGAGGGUGAAAUCCCUCGGCUUAACCGAGGAACUGCCCUCCAAACUGCUUGGCUUGAGUCCGGGAGAGGUGAGUGGAAUUCCCAGUGUAGCGGUGAAAUGCGUAGAUAUUGGGAGGAACACCAGUGGCGAAGGCGGCUCACUGGACCGGAACUGACGCUGAGGCGCGAAAGCGUGGGGAGCAAACGGG